AAGGGAGAGGUAAGAGAGACCACACGCCGCAGCGAAUCUCAGAACCGCCCGGGGCAGAGCAGGAACAGAAGGCGAGUGUCUCUCUGGAGCGUUCUCACGAGCUCAGCACUUCAGUCCCGGUGCAAGACCGGACUUUGUCGUGGAUCACCGGCCGUGUGGACCUCUGCAGUUUUCAGGCCUGGCACAGCCCUGCGAGAUCAACUUCCCCAUCUGUGGAAUACCUGUGAAGGGCUGCACUUCAGAGUUCCCUGAAGAAAACCAUAUCCGAUGUCUUUGUUCCAAGCACUGGAGCACGUGGACACAGGCCAACAAAGCCAGCAAUACGCAGAGCAGGAGAGAUGACUCAAAGGUUAAAAACACUUGGGCUCUUGCAAAGAAUUCUGGUUUCCUCCCCAACACCCAUAAUGCAACUAUCUGCAAUCCCAGGCCCAGGGGGUUCAACAGGCAUGCCUUUGGUGCACAUGUGUUAACACCGGCAAAAUAUUCAAACAUAUAAAUGAAAAUAAAUAAAUAAAUCUAAAAAAACUUUUUU
This is a long non-coding RNA of Alexandromys fortis (reed vole), 532 nucleotides long. RefSeq lists it as uncharacterized. The record is from RefSeq and is a predicted model, not a curated record. Lineage: Eukaryota; Metazoa; Chordata; Mammalia; Rodentia; Cricetidae. The transcript has 2 exons.